GGCGCUGUAGCUUAGUGGUUAAAGCACUUGUCUCGUAAACAGGAGACCCUGGGUUCAAAUCCCAGCAGCGCCU
This 73-nucleotide transfer RNA is filed under the name Perca fluviatilis (European perch). It matches the Rfam family "tRNA". Rfam says of the family: Transfer RNA (tRNA) molecules are approximately 80 nucleotides in length. Their secondary structure includes four short double-helical elements and three loops (D, anti-codon, and T loops). Further hydrogen bonds mediate the characteristic L-shaped molecular structure. tRNAs have two regions of fundamental functional importance: the anti-codon, which is responsible for specific mRNA codon recognition, and the 3' end, to which the tRNAs corresponding amino acid is attached (by aminoacyl-tRNA synthetases). tRNAs cope with the degeneracy of the genetic code in two manners: having more than one tRNA (with a specific anti-codon) for a particular amino acid; and 'wobble' base-pairing, i.e. permitting non-standard base-pairing at the 3rd anti-codon position. The record is from Rfam by way of RNAcentral. Lineage: Eukaryota; Metazoa; Chordata; Actinopteri; Perciformes; Percidae.